UGGCUCUAGCAUCGAUGAAGAACGCAGCGAAAUGCGAUAAGUAGUGUGAAUUGCAGGCUCUAGUGAAUCAUCGAAUCUUUGAACGCACAUUGCGCCCCUUGGUAUUCCACUGGGCAUGCCUGUUCGAGCGUCAUCCAGCUCUCAAGCACUGCUUGGUGUUGGGCGUCUCCACGGUCUUUGUGGACUCACCUUAAUUGCAUUGGCAGCAGGCUAGCUAGGUCAUCCGCGCAGCACAUCUUGCGUGCGACUUCCAGCGAGUCUACGUCCAUCAAGGCCACUACAGCUUGACCUCGAAUCAGGUAGGGAUACCCGCUGA
RNAcentral lists this unclassified non-coding RNA (316 nucleotides) under uncultured fungus. RNAcentral describes it as "partial contains 5.8S ribosomal RNA and internal transcribed spacer 2". The stretch from base 1 to 133 matches the Rfam family "5.8S ribosomal RNA", at positions 22 to 154 of the family's 154-position model. Lineage: Eukaryota; Fungi. The record is from RNAcentral.